This 96-nucleotide ribosomal RNA is filed under the name Olea europaea subsp. europaea. RNAcentral's name for it is "Bacterial small subunit ribosomal RNA". The record is from Rfam by way of RNAcentral. Lineage: Eukaryota; Viridiplantae; Streptophyta; Magnoliopsida; Lamiales; Oleaceae.
AAUAGGUAUGACGAAGGAUCGCAAUUCUACGAAGUUGAGCUAACCCAAAAACCCACCUUCAGUUCAGAUUGCAGGAUGUAACUCGCCUGCAUCAAG